GACGAACGCUGGCGGCGUGCUUAACACAUGCAAGUCGAACGCUGAAGCUCAGCUUUUGUUGGGUGGAUGAGUGGCGAACGGGUGAGUAACACGUGAGUAACCUGCCCCCUUCUUUGGGAUAACGCCCGGAAACGGGUGCUAAUACUGGAUAUUCACUGGUCUUCGCAUGGGGGUUGGUGGAAAGGGUUUUUCUGGUGGGGGAUGGGCUCGCGGCCUAUCAGCUUGUUGGUGGGGUGAUGGCCUACCAAGGCUUUGACGGGUAGCCGGCCUGAGAGGGUGACCGGGCACAUUGGGACUGGGAUACGGCCCAGACUCCUACGGGAGGCGGCAGUGGGGAAUAUUGCGCAAUGGGCGCAAGCCUGAUGCAGCGACGCCGCGUGAGGGAUGGAGGCCUUCGGGUUGUGAACCUCUUUCGCUCAUGGUCAAGCCGCAACAAUGGUUGUGGUGGGGGUAGUGGGUAAAGAAGCGCCGGCUAACUACGUG
This 483-nucleotide ribosomal RNA is filed under the name uncultured bacterium. RNAcentral describes it as "partial 16S ribosomal RNA". It matches the Rfam family "Bacterial small subunit ribosomal RNA", at positions 28 to 507 of the family's 1533-position model. The record is from RNAcentral.